CUCAAAGGAAUUGACGGGGACCCGCACAAGCGGUGGAUGAUGUGGUUUAAUUCGAUGCAACGCGAAAAACCUUACCUACCCUUGACAUGUCUGGAAUCCUGAAGAGAUUUGGGAGUGCUCGAAAGAGAGCCAGAACACAGGUGCUGCAUGGCCGUCGUCAGCUCGUGUCGUGAGAUGUUGGGUUAAGUCCCGCAACGAGCGCAACCCUUGUCAUUAGUUGCUACGAAAGGGCACUCUAAUGAGACUGCCGGUGACAAACCGGAGGAAGGUGGGGAUGACGUCAGGUCCUCAUGGCCCUUAUGGGUAGGGCUACACACGUCAUACAAUGGCCGGUACAGAGGGCUGCCAACCCGCGAGGGGGAGCCAAUCCCAGAAAACCGGUCGUAGUCCGGAUCGCAGUCUGCAACUCGACUGCGUGAAGUCGGAAUCGCUAGUAAUCGCGGAUCAGAUUGCCGCGGUGAAUACGUUCCCGGGUCUUGUACACACCGCCCGUCACACCAUGGGAGCGGGUUCUGCCA
RNAcentral lists this ribosomal RNA (518 nucleotides) under uncultured beta proteobacterium. Its description in RNAcentral is "bacterial SSU rRNA". It matches the Rfam family "Bacterial small subunit ribosomal RNA", at positions 900 to 1422 of the family's 1533-position model. The record is from RNAcentral. Lineage: Bacteria; Pseudomonadati; Pseudomonadota; Betaproteobacteria.